Long non-coding RNA from Columba livia (rock pigeon), 2271 nucleotides. RefSeq lists it as uncharacterized. NCBI's taxonomy places the organism in Eukaryota, Metazoa, Chordata, Aves, Columbiformes, Columbidae. The transcript has 3 exons. The record is from RefSeq and is a predicted model, not a curated record.
AAGAUUUUAUAUUGGAGAACAGACACGUGAAGUGUCACAUUAGAGAACCAGAAGAAGAGGUGAAUGGGGAGAAAAGUUAACUCAAGGCUUAAAAACUGUCUUAUCUCCUUCCCUUUGUAAGACUGGACUUUUAGGAAGAGUGGGGAAUGAAGACCACUUACCAAAGUUUGGAAGGUACCCCCUGGGAAUGCAUUGAUCCUCAGGUUGUGAAUGAACAUCUUUGACACUUUUGAUAAAGGCUUGUGUUUACAAAUAGAUGCACCUGCGGAAUCCAUCCAGUGGUGUUAACAGAACUGACCAAUUCAUCAUAAGGCUAUUCUCCAUCAUCUCUGAAGAGUUCUUUGAUCAGCAGAAAUCCCACGGAGUGGAAAAAGACAAAUGUUAGAGACGGACCUGGGAAACCACAGGCCAGUCAGUCUUAGUUUAACAUCCGUCAUGAGGAAAACCAGGAAACAAGUUCUCACAGAAGCCAUCUCCAAACACAAAAGGCCAAGAAGGCAAUUGGGAACAGCUAGUCUUAAUUCACCAAGGGCAUACAGUUCUUGAUGAAUCUGGUUUAAAGAUGAAUUGGCCACAGCUUUAUGAAAAAGUGAAGAAUAAAGAAUGUAAUUUACCUCGACUUUACCAAGGGUUUCAAUACAGAAUUAUGGCAGCUGUUUCAAAGAGACAGAGUGUUCUGAGUAAAGAAGUAACUGAACGUUUGAGCCUAGAGAGUAGUAUAGCUGACUGCUGCUUGUGAACAACAUGAUGUAGAGCCCCAGUGAGACACAGGACACUACCAAACACAACUCUCUCCAAAAUACCUGGAAACAGGCAAAAUAUAUUUUACUUGUUAAUAUUAUAACCACUAUUGAACACCAAUCUUUUGCUGAUGUGCAGUCUACCAAUAUCUAAAUAAGGAAGUGGGGAGGUGGGAAGGAAUUACAUAAAGUAAGGCGCCCUUUUGAUAGGCCUCCUUCUCCAGGAAGUUUUCAAAAGAUUUUUUGUUUGUUUUUAAGUACUUGAGAAGUUACUGUAUGCUUCUUUUCUAAUUCAGGUACCUGGCUGUCAGAUUAUACACUAGCUUGAUGCACUUAUCCAACAGAAAGGACUGUGAGAAAAGUGAGUUUAGUUUUGAUUGUGAAAUCAGGAUUGUUCUAAACUAUAAACAGCAUCCUAUAGUAUAGCAUGCUUUUAUACUGUGAACUUCAAUAAAAUACUUAAAUAGCUUAUGCCUUCAUUUCAUAAUGAUUAAUAAAAAAUCUGUAUUUAUAAGUUUGAAAGUGAGAAAGAUAACAUUUUACAUUUCAUUGUUUGGGCAAUAAACAAGUAAUGAAGUUCAAGUCAUAACGAAGAAGGUCACCAACUCAAGACUGUAAGUGACAAAGAUGUCAUGACCUCUGAAGUCAUUAAGUCUCAUUUCUUGCUGUUUGAGAUUGAGAUGAGAAACCCAAGCUGAAAUAAACUAAGGAACUUUGAAAGUUUCUCUGGAGACUUAAUGAACUCAAGGAUAGGAAAGGACAUUUUACAAUUUUUAUAGCUCGAAUAUUAAAGUUUAUAUUUCAUACAGUUACUCUUUUAACCAGAAAGCCCAAUAAAGAGUCCCAAUGCACAGCAGCAUUGUAAUUCUAUUAUAUAGAUAACCUCAAAUAGUACAUCAUUUCAAUGAUAAAUGGGUACUUCAGCAGCCUAACCACUCUAGAGAACCUCCUCAUGAAGAAAACUGGUGCUACAGAAUACUUAUCUGAAUUGCUUCUUUAGGGUUGUGUUCACAUCCCAGGCCCUCAGCUGGGUAAUCCCCGGUGUCAAAGGACUCAUUCAACCUGUAUUAGCCACUUCACCAGAGAUCUAUAUGGAGCUCAAACUGUCCCACAUGUGUGGGGUUAAUCACACAGAUUCACACAGAAUCAGAGAAUGUCGGAUUGGAAGGGACUACGAAAGAUUGUCUAGUUCAACCCCCCUACCAGAGCAGGAACACCUAGAUGAGGUUACAUAGAAAUGUGUCCAGGUGGGUUUUGAGUGAGAAGGAGUCUCCACAACCUCCCUGGGCAGCCUGUUCCAGUAUUCUGUCACCCUCACUAAGAAGUUUCUUCUCGUAUUUAAGUGGAACCUCUUGUGUUCCAGGUUAUACCCAUUACCCCUUGUCCUACCAUUGGUUGUCACUGAGAAGAGCCUGGCUCCAUCCUUGUGACACUCACCCUUUACAUAUUUAUAAACAUUAAUGAGGUCACCCCUCAGUCUCCUCCAAGCUAUAGAGACCCAGCUCCCUCAGCUUCUCCUCAUAAGGGAGAU